UGCCUAACACAUGCAAGUCAACGGAGUUACUGAUCGAUGCGGCUUCGGCCAAAGAGAACUUUACUUAGUGGCGGACGGUGAGUAACGCGUGAGCAAUCUGCCUCUUUGAGGGGGAUAACGCACCGAAAGGUGUGCUAAUACCGCAUAAAGUCUCAUACGGCAUCGUAUGGGAAUAAAAGGAGCAAUCCGCAGAGAGAUGAGCUCGCGUCUGAUUAGAUAGUUGGUGGGGUAACGGCCUACCAAGUCGACGAUCAGUAGCCGGACUGAGAGGUUGAACGGCCACAUUGGGACUGAGACACGGCCCAGACUCCUACGGGAGGCAGCAGUGGGAAUAUUGCACAAUGGGCGCAAGCCUGAUGCAGCAACGCCGCGUGAGGGAAGACGGUCUUCGGAUUGUAAACCUCUGUCCUUGGUGAAGAAACAUGACGGUAGCCAUGGAGGAAGCCACGGCUAACUACGUG
RNAcentral lists this ribosomal RNA (461 nucleotides) under uncultured bacterium. RNAcentral's name for it is "bacterial SSU rRNA". It matches the Rfam family "Bacterial small subunit ribosomal RNA", at positions 45 to 507 of the family's 1533-position model. The record is from RNAcentral.